This 468-nucleotide ribosomal RNA is filed under the name uncultured bacterium. RNAcentral describes it as "partial 16S ribosomal RNA". It matches the Rfam family "Bacterial small subunit ribosomal RNA", at positions 28 to 507 of the family's 1533-position model. The record is from RNAcentral.
GACGAACGCUGGCGGCGUGCUUAACACAUGCAAGUCGAACGGAAAGGCCCUGCUUUUGUGGGGUGCUCGAGUGGCGAACGGGUGAGUAACACGUGAGUAACCUGCCCUUGACUUUGGGAUAACUUCAGGAAACUGGGGCUAAUACCGGAUAGGAGCUCCUGCUGCAUGGUGGGGGUUGGAAAGUUUCGGCGGUUGGGGAUGGACUCGCGGCUUAUCAGCUUGUUGGUGGGGGAGUGGCUUACCAAGGCUUUGACGGGUAGCCGGCCUGAGAGGGUGACCGGCCACAUUGGGACUGAGAUACGGCCCAGACUCCUACGGGAGGCAGCAGUGGGGAAUAUUGCACAAUGGGCGGAAGCCUGAUGCAGCAACGCCGCGUGCGUGAUGACGGCCUUCGGGUUGUAAACCGCUUUCGCCUGUGACGAAGCGUGAGUGACGGUAAUGGGUAAAGAAGCACCGGCUAACUACGUG